AGACACAGCAGGAGGAGCAUAAAGUCAAAUGUUUCGGGACGAAACCCUACCACAGGUCGGGAAAGGGGGAAGAGGAGCCCAGAUUAAAUAGAGGGAGGUGGUGGAUGCAGGAUAUCUGAUCACAAGAGGAUUGCAGGAUUUCACACUAUGUUAUUUUCCAGUACUUUGGUUCCUCUGAAGAAUCGGAUAAAGUCAAAUGCACUUAGGUCAAGUGUUUUGAAUUUUCCAUCAAGAAUGAGUUCAGCAAUAGAUCUGCCCACAGCAGGUGGAAGCAAAAGAUCACUAACUCCUGCCAACAACCCGAGAAAAGCAUCUGAAAAGCAAAAGGGACUGCAGUUGCUGGAGGUCGCACAACUGCUCCUGAUGCCUUUCCAGUUAGUAAAGUUUUCAAACUUUCCUUUUAGUGUCAUAAUGCCUUAAAAUGAAGAUCAAGGUACAAGUCCCUAAGAGUAAGAGGAGAAAUGCCUCAAAGGAACAGGAGUGCCAGCAACCGUAACAAACGAAUGUAUCAGUGUUCAACACUGCAACAUGGAAUAAACUAUAGCUGCCAAAGAACUGUGCCCAAACUAGCCCAAAAUUUCUUGUUCAAACCAGCAGGUGGCAGAUGUUUGAAAUGUUUUGGUCAGUCAGUUGUGAAGUCGCCUCCCAAGUCAGAAAGGCUUUGUGGAACAAGUUCAUGUGCAGCCCAGUUAGCUCAGUUCAUAGUUAAUGGGAGUCUUAACUCUAGGGUCACGGUCUCAAGCUCCACACUGGGGCUGAUGAUCCAUUACUUAAUAUUCUAUUUAAGGAGGUAAAAUAUUGGACACUAUUAAAGGAGCAAAAAUCAACAUCACAAAAAAAACAGGUUAUCUGGUCAUCACCACAUUGUUGUAUGCGCGAGUUUGUUGUGCAAAUUAGCAGUUGUAUUGCCUGCUGUCAAACAACUACACUUCAAAAUUAUUUAUUUAGCUGUAAAGCACUGAAAUAUCAGCUGGUUGUGAAAAGGACUUACAAAAAUGCAAGUCCCUUUUUUGGACUUUGUGCGAACACAGGAUGCAAACAGUUGAGUAUCUUUGCUAGUGUGUUCUGCCUUGGCUGAUACAAAAAGAACAGACACUUAGGUGAACAAAUUAAACCUGCCACAGUAACACAGUCAGUGCCCAAGGGGAGGAAACAUACAAAAUGUUAAAAAGGUACAGUUUAAAUCUUCUACAUGAAACUCUGUUAGGUUAAUAAAUUUGCAAGCAUAGGUUCUCAGAAUAUUCUGUUUCAAAUCACUAGUCUAGAAUGUUUAAGAAAAUCUUUAGCUACCAUUUGUUUGAACUGUUCGGAGAUCGUUACCAAAAACCUGGUAAAGUAUUAUGCCUGUCAUGGCUGUUCUCAUUGCUGUUCUCCCCAAGGUUCCCCUUGUAACCAUUCUAUAAUUAGGGAAGGCAAUGGCCUAGGGGUAUUAUCGAAGAACUGUUAAU
Long non-coding RNA from Rhincodon typus (whale shark), 1448 nucleotides. RefSeq lists it as uncharacterized. The record is from RefSeq and is a predicted model, not a curated record. NCBI's taxonomy places the organism in Eukaryota, Metazoa, Chordata, Chondrichthyes, Orectolobiformes, Rhincodontidae. The transcript is spliced from 3 exons.